Molecule: unclassified non-coding RNA, 194 nt
Filed under: uncultured Eurotiomycetes
Lineage: Eukaryota; Fungi; Ascomycota; Eurotiomycetes
Description: sequence contains ITS1
Source: RNAcentral
UCGAGUUAGGGUCUCUUACAAACGAGCCCGACCUCCAACCCCUUGCUUAUCUGACCCAUUGUUGCUUCGGCAGGCCCGCCCUCCUGGGCCGCCGGGGGACCUGUUGUGCCCCUGGCCCGUGCCUGCCGACGGCCCAAUUCCAACACUCUUGUUAACAAACAUGUUGUCUGAGUUUACAAAACAAAAUUAAAUUA